Rattus norvegicus (Norway rat) is the source of this 1010-nucleotide long non-coding RNA. RefSeq lists it as uncharacterized. The record is from RefSeq and is a predicted model, not a curated record. Lineage: Eukaryota; Metazoa; Chordata; Mammalia; Rodentia; Muridae.
CGUUCAGCACCUAAGUUCAAAGAAAACAAGGAGCGACUGUGAUAGAGAAGAGACUGUACGAGUGACUGUUUGAACAAAUCCUAAUCCGUUCUGCUGUACUCGGAAUGUAUUAGGAUGUUACAGCUUCAAUCGCUGUGGGAGCAUCUUGUCUCGCUGCUAUCAUUAAACCUAACAAGCCCAUGGCUUCGCAACCCAAGAUGCCUUUCACAAUUGCUCACUGAGUAAAGCUGUGAAUGAGAAGCCCCGUCUGUCCAUGCUCACGGAACUCAGUGGCAGAAGCCGGGGAGGCUUAAAUGAUGGGAACCUGAGUGUUGGCCUAGUGAGCUACCAGGCUCUGAUUCUUUUAACUCUGUGCUGAGGCCAUAGACAGAAUGGCUGGGGAUCUGAAAGUAUAACAUGUGUCCUACUUGGGUAACUUUUUGGAAGUCUGAGAUUGUCUAGAAAUAACAAGCUUUAAGGAGUUAUGAAUGAAAAUGAGUUCCUGGGAGUGCCACGAUUCUAAGUGCUGAAUACAGAGUUGGUGAAAACAGUCCAACUGUUUGUGAUAGAAACCCGGGUGGCUAGUUCAUAUGCGCUGGCCAGUUCAUCACCACAUGCAUUUAUUAUGAUUUAAAGAUGAAUUAUGCAAAACGCCUCUAAAUUAAACAUGAACAGUGAGAGAGCAACACAGGAGCAUUAGGUUUGUGAAGCUGCUUAGGAAAUGGACUUCUUGAACCAAGAAGACAACGGAGGAGAUCUGAGUGGCCCUUUCAGGGAGAAGAUGCCUGAGUACCUCUCCUCUCUAUCCCUGAGCCAAUGAGAGAAAGUGAAGUCACAGCUACCAUAGGAGCUUUACAGAGGAAGAGAAAGUGAUCUACCAGGAAGCCACCAACACCCUCAUUGGACUAAGUUUGGAGCCAGGUCGGCUGCCUGAAAUGAACACAAACAGAAAUAGAACAGAAUGGCUCAGGAGAGUGCACACCCGAGGAGGGUGCCUGACCUCCGGAGACACGGGGGAAGUGAUCAACAUG